GCGGCAGGCUUAACACAUGCAAGUCGAGGGGCAGCGGGGAGGAAGCUUGCUUUCUCCGCCGGCGACCGGCGCACGGGUGAGUAACACGUAUGCAACCUGCCCCUGUCAGGGGGACAACCCGCCGAAAGGCGGGCUAAACCCGCGUACAUGCCACCGGGGCAUCCCGGAGGCAGGAAAGGCUUCGGCCGGACAGGGAUGGGCAUGCGGCGCAUUAGGCAGUAGGCGGGGUAACGGCCCACCUAACCGACGAUGCGUAGGGGUUCUGAGAGGAAGGUCCCCCACACUGGUACUGAGACACGGACCAGACUCCUACGGGAGGCAGCAGUGAGGAAUAUUGGUCAAUGGUCGGGAGACUGAACCAGCCAAGCCGCGUGAGGGAGGAAGGUACAGAGUAUCGUAAACCUCUUUUGUCAGGGAACAAAGACUGGGACGCGUCCCCGGAUGAGUGUACCUGAAGAAAAAGCAUCGGCUAACUCCGUGCCAGCAGCCGCGGUAAUACGGAGGAUGCGAGCGUUAUCCGGAUUUAUUGGGUUUAAAGGGUGCGCAGGCGGUCUGUUAAGUCAGCGGUCAAAGCCCGGGGCUCAACCCCGGCCCGCCGUUGAAACUGGCAGUCUCGAGUUGGAGAGAAGUAUGCGGAAUGCGCGGUGUAGCGGCGAAAUGCAUAGAUAUUGCGCAGAACUCCGAUUGCGAAGGCAGCAUGCCGGCUCCACACUGACGCUGAGGCACGAAAGCGUGGGUAUCGAACAGGAUUAGAUACCCUGGUAGUCCACGCAGUAAACGAUGAAUGCUGGCUGUCCGGGGGGACUGACCCCUGGGUGGCGAAGCGAAAGCGAUAAGCAUUCCACCUGGGGAGUACGCCGGCAACGGUGAAACUCAAAGGAAUUGACGGGGGCCCGCACAAGCGGAGGAACAUGUGGUUUAAUUCGAUGAUACGCGAGGAACCUUACCCGGGCUCAAACGGGGAGUGCCGCAGGCAGAGACGCCUGUUUCCCACGGGACACUCCCCGAGGUGCUGCAUGGUUGUCGUCAGCUCGUGCCGUGAGGUGUCGGCUUAAGUGCCAUAACGAGCGCAACCCCCGCGUGCAGUUGCUAACAGAUAACGCUGAGGACUCUGCACGGACUGCCGGCGCAAGCCGCGAGGAAGGCGGGGAUGACGUCAAAUCAGCACGGCCCUUACGUCCGGGGCGACACACGUGUUACAAUGGGUGGUACAGCGGGAAGCCAGGCGGCGACGCCGAGCGGAACCCGAAAUCCACUCUCAGUUCGGAUCGGAGUCUGCAACCCGACUCCGUGAAGCUGGAUUCGCUAGUAAUCGCGCAUCAGCCAUGGCGCGGUGAAUACGUUCCCGGGCCU
RNAcentral lists this ribosomal RNA (1353 nucleotides) under uncultured bacterium. Its description in RNAcentral is "bacterial SSU rRNA". It matches the Rfam family "Bacterial small subunit ribosomal RNA", at positions 39 to 1381 of the family's 1533-position model. The record is from RNAcentral.